GCGUCGGUGGUUCAGUGGUAGAAUACUCGCCUGCCACGCGGGUGGCCCAGGUUCGAAUCCCGGCCGACGCA
This 71-nucleotide transfer RNA is filed under the name Rhipicephalus sanguineus (brown dog tick). RNAcentral's name for it is "transfer RNA glycine (anticodon GCC)". It matches the Rfam family "tRNA". From Rfam's summary of the family: Transfer RNA (tRNA) molecules are approximately 80 nucleotides in length. Their secondary structure includes four short double-helical elements and three loops (D, anti-codon, and T loops). Lineage: Eukaryota; Metazoa; Arthropoda; Arachnida; Ixodida; Ixodidae. The record is from Rfam by way of RNAcentral.